GACGAACGCUGGCGGCGUGCCUAAUACAUUGCAAGUGGAACGCAUUUUAAUCACCGUAGCUAGCUACACCGAAUAAAAUGAGUCGCGAACGGGUGAGUAACGCGUAGGUAACCUACCUUCUAGCGGGGGACAACUAUUGGAAACGAUAGCUAAUACCGCAUAAGACAUUAUAUCGCAUGAUAGGAUGUUAAAAGAUACAAUUGUAUCACUAGGAGAUGGACCUGCGUUGUAUUAGCUAGUUGGUGAGGUAACGGCUCACCAAGGCAGCGAUACAUAGCCGACCUGAGAGGGUGAUCGGCCACACUGGGACUGAGACACGGCCCAGACUCCUACGGGAGGCAGCAGUAGGGAAUCUUCGGCAAUGGGGGCAACCCUGACCGAGCAACGCCGCGUGAGUGAAGAAGGUUUUCGGAUCGUARAGCUCUGUUGUAAGCGAAGAAGAGUGUUAGGAGUGGAGAAAUCUAACACAUGACGGUAGCUUACCAGAAAGGGACGGCUAACUACGUGCCAGCAGCCGCGGUAAUACGUAGGUCUCGAGCGUUGUCCGGAUUUAUUGGGCGUAAAGCGAGCGCAGGCGGUUAGAUAAGUCAGAAGUUAAAGGCUGUGGCUCAACCAUAGUAUGCUUUUGAAACUGUUUAACUUGAGUGCAGAAGGGGAGAGUGGAAUUCCAUGUGUAGCGGUGAAAUGCGUAGAUAUAUGGAGGAACACCGGUGGCGAAAGCGGCUCUCUGGUCUGUGACUGACGCUGAGGCUCGAAAGCGUGGGUAGCGAACAGGAUUAGAUACCCUGGUAGUCCACGCCGUAAACGAUGAGUGCUAGGUGUUAGACCCUUUCCGGGGUUUAGUGCCGUAGCUAACGCAUUAAGCACUCCGCCUGGGGAGUACGACCGCAAGGUUGAAACUCAAAGGAAUUGACGGGGGCCCGCACAAGCGGUGGAGCAUGUGGUUUAAUUCGAAGCAACGCGAAGAACCUUACCAGGUCUUGACAUCCCUCUGACCGGUCUAGAGAUAGGCUUUCCCUUUUGGGCAGAGGAGACAGGUGGUGCAUGGUUGUCGUCAGCUCGUGUCGUGUGAUGUUGGGUUAAGUCCCGCAACGAGCGCAACCCUUAUUGUUAGUUGCCAUCAUUGAGUUGGGCACUCUAGCGAGACUGCCGGUAAUAAACCGGAGGAAGGUGGGGAUGACGUCAAAUCAUCAUGCCCCUUAUGACCUGGGCUACACACGUGCUAUAAUGGUUGGUACAACGAGUCGCAAGCCGGUGACGGCAAGCUAAUCUCUUAAAGCCAAUCUCAGUUCGGAUUGUAGGCUGCAACUCGCCUACAUGAAGUCGGAAUCGCUAGUAAUCGCGGAUCAGCACGCCGCGGUGAAUACGUUCCCGGGCCU
This 1379-nucleotide ribosomal RNA is filed under the name uncultured bacterium. RNAcentral describes it as "bacterial SSU rRNA". It matches the Rfam family "Bacterial small subunit ribosomal RNA", at positions 28 to 1381 of the family's 1533-position model. The record is from RNAcentral.